UACGGAGGGUGCAAGCGUUAUCCGGAUUCACUGGGUUUAAAGGGAGCGUAGGAGGGCAGGUAAGUCAGUGGUGAAAUCUUCGAGCUUAACUCGGAAACUGCCGUUGAUACUAUCUGUCUUGAAUACCGUGGAGAUGAGCGGAAUAUGUCAUGUAGCGGUGAAAUGCUUAGAUAUGACAUAGAACACCAAUUGCGUAGGCAGCUUACUACACGAUCAUUGACGCUGAGGCACGAAAGCGUGGGGAGCAAACAGG
This 253-nucleotide ribosomal RNA is filed under the name uncultured bacterium. RNAcentral describes it as "partial 16S ribosomal RNA". It matches the Rfam family "Bacterial small subunit ribosomal RNA", at positions 524 to 776 of the family's 1533-position model. The record is from RNAcentral.